Molecule: long non-coding RNA, 994 nt
Organism: Pogoniulus pusillus (Red-fronted tinkerbird)
Lineage: Eukaryota; Metazoa; Chordata; Aves; Piciformes; Lybiidae
Exons: 3
Source: RefSeq, a predicted model, not a curated record
CUGGCUUUGCUGCCAUCCUCAGCAUCCUCCACUGGAAGGUCAGGAGUGCUGUGCUCUGCCCAGAGUGCAGCUUGUCUGAUCUGAACAGACCAGUGAUCUCCUCAGCUGUGCUCCUGAGAGGGAAGUUCUUCAUUAUCCACAGAGAAGUUUUCUUGUAAUCAUGGUUCUGCUGUUUCUUCAGGUGCCUGAAUCUGUGUGCUCCCACUUGUAUUUUGUUCACAGCAACCUUAACAUCUUUCUUAGAGCUCUUUGGGAUGUGCAGGCAGCAGUGCAUGCAGUGAGAUGUGUGCAAGCUGCUGCAGCAAGACAAGACCAGCAGCAGUGCUAAGAAGGAAUGCAGUGAGCAGUGCUGCCAGGCUUUUCUCUUUGAGGGUACCAACCUCCUUCCCAUGCCAAACCCAAUUGUCACCAAAUAUCGCUGCCCCAUAAGUGCCAGCAGCAGCUCUCUGGGCUGCCUAAGGAAGUGGCUGUGUCCAGUUAUGCCUGCUGAGGUGGAGACCUGCAUAGCAACGAGGGAAAAGGAUUCAAAAGCCUUUUGGAUAAGGAGUGUCUGCAGGUGAUUGCAUAAAUACUGUGUGCUGCUGAUACUGGACAGGAUGAAGUCUUUGAAUCAUAUAGACAGAGUUGGCUUUUGAACUUGUAGCCCCUUUGAUUUAUUGGCUGCUGCCUCAGGAGUUUCUGUCUGGUUUAAAAUCAUGUCUGAAUUAUGUUUCUUCUAGCAGUUAUUUCCUGGCUUAGCUGUUCUAUGACUCUGUGUUUCCUUUCACUUACUGCUUAUCUUAAUCACUCUUAACUUUGCAAGUCUCCAUUUUGACUUCAUUUUCAAUAAACCUGUGCCUGUGUAAUAAAACCUCCCCAAAAGUGGCAAUUCUUAGCCAAGAGCUAAGCCAGCUCAGCUGUGCUUGUUUGCAAUGAAACUGCAAGCUCAUUAAACCAUAACAUUCAUUUACUUGUUGCCAGCUUAGAUGUGCUAUGAUGAAUCUAUCAUCUGCUC